AACCACAUGAAGUUUAACAAGAGCAAGUGCUGGAUUCUGCAUGUGGGAAGGGACAACCCUAGCUAUAUGUACAGACUGGGGGAUGAGAUGCUGGAGAGCAUCUCUGCGGAAUGUGAUCUGGGGGUUUUGGUUGACAGCAAGCUGAAUAUGAGCCAGCAGUGUGCUGUGAGAGCCAGGGAGGCCAGCUGUAGCCAGGGGUGUGUCAAGCACAGCAUUGAGCACAGCAUUGCUAGCCAGUCAAGGGAAGGGAUUGUCCAACUGUACUCUGCACUGCUGCGGCCUCACCUCGAGUACUCUGUGCAGGUUUGGGUGCCACAAUAUAAAAAAGAUAUAAAACUGUUUGCGAGUGUCCAAAGGAAGGCUAUGAAGAUGGUGAAGGGUCUGGAGGGCAAGAUGUAUGAGGAGUGGCUGAAGUCACUUGGUUUGUUCAGCCUGGAGAAGAGAAGAGUGAGGGGAGGCCUCAUCACGGUCUACAGCUUCCUCAAUAGGGAGGGUGGAGGGGCAGGCACUGAUCUCCUCUCUGGUGACAGCGAUAAAACCCAGGGAACAAGCUUGGAGCUACAACAGGGGAGGUUCAGGCUGGAUAUCAGGAAAAGGUUCUUCACUGAGAGGGUGGUAGGGCACUGGAACAGGCUCCCCAGGGAAGUGGUCAUGGCACCAAGCCUGACAGAGUUCAAGAAGCAUUUGGACAAUUCUCUCAGACACAUAGUCUGAUUUUUUGGGUGGUCCUCUGGGGACCCAGGAGUUGGACUCAAUGAUCUUUGGGGUUCCCUUCCAACUUGGGAUACUCUAUAAUUCUAUGAUACCUGGCAGGGCAGCAGACCUGCAACUCCAUGGCUCCUGGGGCUUGCUCACUGGCUUGCUUCCACACACUGCUCUCCCACACUGUCUCAUUAAUGCAGAGCUUGGCGCCUGAGAAGCAAACAGGCUGUCCUGGUGGAAUAUGAGCUGUUCUGUGACUCUGGAAAACCUCAUCCAGUAAGCUAAGGUCUAGAGAAGACACUGGGAUGCAGCUGAAACAUGAAUGAGUGAGUGGG
Molecule: long non-coding RNA, 1037 nt
Filed under: Anser brachyrhynchus (Pink-footed goose)
Lineage: Eukaryota; Metazoa; Chordata; Aves; Anseriformes; Anatidae
Description: lncRNA (ENSABRG00000005985.1)
Source: RNAcentral